This 77-nucleotide transfer RNA is filed under the name Nitrospirota bacterium. Its description in RNAcentral is "Nitrospirae bacterium (sediment metagenome) tRNA-Pro". It matches the Rfam family "tRNA". From Rfam's summary of the family: Transfer RNA (tRNA) molecules are approximately 80 nucleotides in length. Their secondary structure includes four short double-helical elements and three loops (D, anti-codon, and T loops). Lineage: Bacteria; Pseudomonadati; Nitrospirota. The record is from RNAcentral.
CGGGGCGUAGCGCAGUCUGGUAGCGCAUCUGCUUUGGGAGCAGAGGGUCACAGGUUCAAAUCCUGUCGCCCCGACCA